GAGAAUAUAACUCAGUGGCAGAGCACAUGCUUAGCAUGCAUGAGGUCCUGGGUUCAAUCCCCAGUAUCUCCA
Molecule: transfer RNA, 72 nt
Filed under: Camelus bactrianus (Bactrian camel)
Lineage: Eukaryota; Metazoa; Chordata; Mammalia; Artiodactyla; Camelidae
Also listed under: 1 other name
Rfam family: tRNA
About the family: Transfer RNA (tRNA) molecules are approximately 80 nucleotides in length. Their secondary structure includes four short double-helical elements and three loops (D, anti-codon, and T loops).
Source: Rfam by way of RNAcentral